GACGAACGCUGGCGGCGUGCUUAACACAUGCAAGUCGAACGGUAAGGCCCCAGCUUGCUGGGGUACACGAGUGGCGAACGGGUGAGUAACACGUGGGUGACCUGCCCCGCACUUCGGGAUAAGCCUGGGAAACUGGGUCUAAUACCGGAUAGGACCGCACCGUGAGGGUGUGGUGGAAAGUUUUUCGGUGUGGGAUGGGCCCGCGGCCUAUCAGCUUGUUGGUGGGGUAAUGGCCUACCAAGGCGGCGACGGGUAGCCGGCCUGAGAGGGUGGACGGCCACAUUGGGACUGAGACACGGCCCAGACUCCUACGGGAGGCAGCAGUGGGGAAUAUUGCACAAUGGGCGGAAGCCUGAUGCAGCGUCGCCGCGUGGGGGAUGACGGCCUUCGGGUUGUAAACUCCUUUCACCAUCGACGAAGGUUUUCUGACGGUAGAUGGAGAAGAAGCACCGGCUAACUACGUG
Molecule: ribosomal RNA, 464 nt
Filed under: uncultured bacterium
Lineage: Bacteria
Description: partial 16S ribosomal RNA
Rfam family: Bacterial small subunit ribosomal RNA
Source: RNAcentral